AAGGGCACCACAAGAACGCGUGGAGCAUGUGGCUUAAUUUGACUCAACGCGGGAAAUCUUACCGGGUCCGGACACACUGAGGAUUGACAGAUAUACGCUGCGUUGCUGCACCUUCGGGUGUGCACGUGGCUCAAAGAUGCUAGUUCUUUCAUGAUUAUGUGAUAGGUGGUGCAUGGCCGUUCUUAGUUCGUGGAGUGAUCUGUCUGCUUAAUUGCGUAUCAAUAAUAGAGACCUAGUAUACGCGUAUUACUCGUGUGGUAGUGACCCCCUUCUCACGGAGGCGCGUGCCGUCAUACGGUAUACGCACUGGUCUCAGAUAGCAACGAACGUGACCGUAUUCUAUUGUUGCAGUGAAUUAUACGCGCGUGCUUUUACUAGCAUGUCGUUCCCACUGCUUAGUGUGCGCUGCCAGUACUUGUUGCUGCUGCGUCACACAUUAAACUAUAGAGACCGCUGUUUCUUCUUUAAACCAGAGGAAGGAUACGGCAAUAACAGGUCUGUGAUGCCCUCAGAUGUUCCGGGCUGCACACGUGCUACAAUGAUCAUUGCACUGUGCAUCUAACCCAAUGUGCGCGGACGCCACGAUGCGUAUUUGUCUUCGGGCAUUUUAUGCAUUCGCUUGUGCGACUGCGCCGAACCUACUUCGAAAGUAAAAUUUUUAAGUGGGUAAUCCAUUAGAAGUAAUGACUCGCAUAGACCAUGGCACACUAUAUGUACGCGCAGGUCUACCCGGCUCGCCUUUGUGUGAGUGCAGUGCGUAGCUUGUUGUUUCGUACGUGCCACUCCGUAUUAAUUCGUACGUGGGGAUAGAUCAUUGUUUAAUUGUUGGUCUCGGUCUUAACUAGGAAUGCCUNGUACGGGUCUUUGGUUCAACAUACCACCCGGAAUACGUCCCUGCCCUUUGUACACACCGCCCGUC
RNAcentral lists this ribosomal RNA (919 nucleotides) under Ammonia inflata. RNAcentral's name for it is "SSU rRNA". It matches the Rfam family "Eukaryotic small subunit ribosomal RNA", at positions 1160 to 1677 of the family's 1831-position model. The record is from RNAcentral. Lineage: Eukaryota; Foraminifera; Rotaliida; Rotaliidae.